Molecule: long non-coding RNA, 229 nt
Organism: Hevea brasiliensis (rubber tree)
Lineage: Eukaryota; Viridiplantae; Streptophyta; Magnoliopsida; Malpighiales; Euphorbiaceae
Exons: 2
Source: RefSeq, a predicted model, not a curated record
CAUAAAUCUAAAUUAACACAAAUUUUUAUUUCCCAAAUCACAAAGAACAGAGAUUAUUUAUUUGCGAUCACUUCUUUAUUAUAUAAUUUCUGCUCCAUUGAGGUAAUAAAUUCGUUGUUUAGCCAAUGGCAGGAACUUGAGUGACCACCCGAUUUUCAUCCACGAAAACCCGGACCCUGUUGAAAUUUAAAUCCUGAGUUAUAGGCAAUCCCUCCUUGACCACGAUUGC